RNAcentral lists this ribosomal RNA (424 nucleotides) under Cephus fumipennis. Its description in RNAcentral is "partial 16S ribosomal RNA". The record is from RNAcentral. RNAcentral also lists the same sequence under 1 other name. Lineage: Eukaryota; Metazoa; Arthropoda; Insecta; Hymenoptera; Cephidae.
CAAAAACAUGUCUUUUUGAUUUUGAUUUAAAGUCUAAUCUGCCCACUGAGUAAUUUAAAUGGCCGCGGUAUUUUGACCGUGCAAAGGUAGCAUAAUCAUUAGUUUUUUAAUUGAAAGCUUGUAUGAAUGAUUGAAUAAAAUAUUUAUUGUCUCAUAAUUAUUUAAAUUAAAAUUUAAUUUUUAAAUUAAAAAGUUUAAAUUUUAUUAGAGGACGAGAAGACCCUAUAGAUUUUUAUAAUUGAAUUUUUAAUUUUAAUUUAAUUUAUUGAUUAAAUUAAUUUUUAAUUAUUUUGUUGGGGUGACAUUAAAAUUAAAUUAACUUUUAAUUUAAUUAAACAUUAAUUUAUGAAAUUUAAUAUAUAAAAGUAAAAAUUUAUUAUUAGUUUUGAUCCUAAAUUUUAGAUUAUUAGAUUAAAAUACCUUA